UGAGGAUGCUCAGCGUUCUGGCUGCAUCUUUCCAGCUAAAUGAAGAGAGAGAGGGAAAGCCUCAUUUAAGUCCCUAUUGCUCCCAAAAGGGCUGGGACUCAGGCAAUGUUUGCUGUUGACCCCGAAAUGCUUAGGAAUAAAAAGCCCUGGAGGAGACUGUGAGGAUCAAGUUCAGCUCCAGAUUUGGAGCCUGAAGACUGAGCCUAAGUUUCCUCAUCUAUGAAAUGGAGGUAACAGGGUCACCAGCAUUGUGGGGAGUGAUGGAGGUGGAGAGCCUAGGAUGUCGCCCAGUGCUACAGGAGCCAGCAAGCACAGCACUUUGGGGACCAGAGGACACCAUGCCAGUGGCUUGCCCGACAUCUCCCCACCCCUUCCGGCCGAGGAGGCGUCCUGCUCAGAUGACACUACAUCUACAAUUCAUUGUUUCUUCCACCACUGCUCAUUGACUACAGAAGAAAAAAGUUCUUCAUCUUUGGCUUGGAGACUGGGCCUCCGUAUAAUCCUGAGUGGAACUUAUGAGGAUGCUUGGAUUCCUGUGUCUGUGACUCUGUGUGGAGGUCUCUUUCUGUUGGAGCAUGAGUAGCUGAUUGUGGGGUGUUCAAUAAAUGCUAAAUGAUGACAAGAGUGGUGCCCAGGGCAGAGGUGACGCACCGUCCCUGAGCUCCCCAUUCUCCUGGGAACGAACUACAGAGAAUGAGACCGAGAGCAGACUGCGUCAGAAGCACCAGCCCCUUCUGUAACCAGCCCAGGCCUCAGGCAGUAACUGCGGUUCUCACAGGUCAGACCUGCCCACUGUGUCUCAGCUGCCAGGAAACCCUGUUCCCAGCGCCCUCCUUGGGCCUGGGCCAGAUCCCCAGUGAGCGGAACCCAGCCAAGGGGCCACAUUAGUCACCCUGUGGCAACAGCAGGGAGUAAUUCCUGGGCUCCUUUAUGCAGCAAUGCAGCGGCCACCUCACAUCCUCCACUCUAAUACAUCCUUACAACUCAACUCCAAGAUGCCAGACGGCAGCUUUUUUUUUCUUUUUCGAGACAGAGUCUCGCUCUGUGGCCCAGGCUGGAGUGCAAUGGCGCAAUCUCAGCUCACUACAACCUCUGCCUCCUGGGUUCAAGCAAUUCUCCUGUCUCAGCCUCCCAAGUCGCUGGGAUUACAGGCAUGCCCCACCAUGCCUGGCUAAUUUUUGUAUUUGUAGUAGAGACGGGUUUCUCCACGUUGGUCAGGCUCGUCUCAAAUUCCCAACCACAGGUGAUCCACCUGUCUCGGCUUCCCAAAGUGCUGGGAUUACAGGCGUGAGCCACCACACCCAGCUUCUUUGUUUUGUUUUUGAGACAGGGUCUCACUCUGAUGCACAGGCUGGAGUGCAGUGGUGUGAUACUGCAGCCUUGACUUCCUGAGCUCAGGGGAUUCUCUCACCUCAGCUCCGAGUACCUGGGACUACAGGCAUGCACCAUCAGGCCCAGUUAAUUUUUGUAGUUUUUGUAGAGACAGGGUUUCACUAUGUUGCCUGGGCUGGUCUCGAACUCAUGAGCUCAAGUGAUCUGCC
Long non-coding RNA from Callithrix jacchus (white-tufted-ear marmoset), 1541 nucleotides. RefSeq lists it as uncharacterized. NCBI's taxonomy places the organism in Eukaryota, Metazoa, Chordata, Mammalia, Primates, Cebidae. The record is from RefSeq and is a predicted model, not a curated record.